CUCCAAUAGCGUAUAUUAAAGUUGUUGCAGUUAAAAAGCUCGUAGUUGAAUUUCGGGAUCAAAUUGUCGGUCGUGCCUCGGUACGUACUGGUAUUAUUGGUUCCUCCCUUCUGACGAACCACGAUGUCAUUAAUUUGGUGUCAUGGGAAAUCAGGACUGUUACUUUGAAAAAAUUAGAGUGUUUAAAGCAGGCUCGCGCUUGAAUACAUUAGCAUGGAAUAAUGAAAUAGGACGUUUGAUUCUAUUUUGUUGGUUUCUAGGAUCGACGUAAUGAUUAAUAGGGAUAGUUGGGGGCAUUAGUAUUCAAUUGUCAGAGGUGAAAUUCUUGGAUUUAUUGAAGACUAACUACUGCGAAAGCAUUUGCCAAGGAUGUUUUCAUUAAUCAAGAACGAAAGUUAGGGGAUCGAAGACGAUCAGAUACCGUCGUAGUCUUAACCAUAAACUAUGCCGACUAGGGAUCGGAUGAUGUUAAUUUUUUAAUGACUCAUUC
RNAcentral lists this ribosomal RNA (490 nucleotides) under uncultured Glomus. Its description in RNAcentral is "SSU rRNA". It matches the Rfam family "Eukaryotic small subunit ribosomal RNA", at positions 589 to 1081 of the family's 1831-position model. Lineage: Eukaryota; Fungi; Glomeromycota; Glomeromycetes; Glomerales; Glomeraceae. The record is from RNAcentral.